CCAUUGUAAAGCAAUUAUACUCCAAUAAAGAUGUAAAAAAGAAAAAAAAAGAAUCACUCUGGCUACUAUGUUGGGAAUGGGUUAUGCAUAGAAGCAAAUGGCUACUGAAGUAAUGCGAGUGAGAGGCAGAGUGGUUUGGAGCAAAGUGGUAGUAGUGGGAAUGGUGAGAAGUGAUUACAUUCUAAACAUAUUUUGAAACUACAGCUAAUAGGAUUUCUUCAUAGAUUGGAUUUGGGGUGACAGAAAAAGAUAGGCAUCUGGAAAACCAGCUUGACAUAAAUUUUUAAACAUAGGUGACCACAUUUAAUACCAUAUGCUCCCCUCUUACCCCUACAACUCUGCCCAGCUUGUUGGACAAUGGCAGGCACUUACCUGGGAGCAGCUGAUCAAUAGGCUGGACAUUAGCCUUUAGAGUAUCCUGGCAUGAAAGUUUCGCCCGAAUAAAUGGCAAUUAACUCUUCCAAUGAUUUUUUUUCUUUCAGGAAUCAGAAUUGGAGAGAAAAAACCAUCAUCAUCAUCAUCAGUGAGAGCAGAAGCUGAAAGACAUGGAGAGUAGGCAGUAUCCCGACUUCAUGGGGAUAAGGAUGGCACAUUCGACAGGAAAUCUCUUGGUAUCUACUUAUCUCUGUGGAUUGAGCAUGGCCAACAAGGUACAGAAGGUGAAAAAUGCAAAUAUUUUGAAUAAAGAAGAACUAACUGGAAUCAUGUGAAGCAUUUUACACACCUUCUCUCAUUUAAUCUGUAGUGUGAGGGAGGUACCAUCACUGAGGUUCACAGAGGUGUUUACAGAGAUUUAUAGAACAUAACUACCAAGAAAAACAAGAAUCAACUGUGCCAGGUGCAGGAUCAGACAACUCGUGGAGGAGUGGAAUGCCUGGCUCCGAAGCCUUGUCUCUCUGAUUCUGGACACCUCAUUCCAUCCCAUCAGCUACCUUUCAGAAGAGAAAGAAAAGCUCUUCUGCUCAGCUUCCAGUGCUCCUUCCACGGUAUGAUGCUGCCUUCCCUAGAGCUUGUUGCCUAGCUGGGAAAUGAACAGCUCUGAGGAUGAAAGCAAAAUACACUGAGUUUCCAAGAAUCUGUAAGAGGAAGACAGGUGCUCACAGGGACAUGUGAGUCUGUGCCUGAGAAGCAAUCCUGAUGGUGGGACGUGGGUUCGAGCCCUGGUCCAGGAAGAUCCCACAUGCCGCAG
Molecule: non-coding RNA, 1189 nt
Organism: Delphinapterus leucas (beluga whale)
Lineage: Eukaryota; Metazoa; Chordata; Mammalia; Artiodactyla; Monodontidae
Source: RefSeq, a predicted model, not a curated record